AAGGAAAAUGUUAUUUUAGUAAUUUCAUUAUUUAUCUUUCCCUAUUUCACUUUUUUAAUAAUUUUAUUAAUUAUAUUAUCUUAAAAAAUACAUCACAUCAUUAAUUAUAUUACCAUAACAAAUAGUGCAAAAUAUUAUUUAUUAGUUAAUCAACAUUAACUUUGUGCCAAUUAUAAAAUUAAAUAUGUAAAAUAACUUGAUUUUACAUAUGGUUAAACGUUCGAUUUAGUUUUUUUUCUAAUUUUUUUUUAAUUUCAAUUGGUGAAAAUUAUGUAUCCAAAAAUAUAAUUCAAAGACAUAUUUUGUGAAUAAAAUAAUAACUUAAAUCAAAACAAUAAGAAUGUAUUACAUUUAUUGUCAUUAAAUUUUUACUCCAUACAAUUAUUUUAUUAAAUAAAAAACACUUUCUUUCACUUAAUUUAGCCAAACUCAUAGAAAAAAAAAUACUUUUUAUUAGUUUAUAAAAUUAGUUAGGCAUGAAAAUUAACUAUCCAUUUAGGUACAUGUUGUUUUUUUGGGUAUCAUUUUUUUUUGAAAUUAUACCCCUCUUGAAUAUUAUAAAUUUAUGUGUAGAUUUUGAGUUGGCUCAUUCUCGGUUUGGAUGAGUUUUGUUCUGAUGUAUAGGAACCUAUAAAAUAUAUAAAUAAAUAAUGUAUAUGAAACGAGUUUGGGUAUUUGUACCAAAAAUAACCAUAUUACUCGAUUCAGUCCACGUCUUUUAAAUACAAUUAGUUAUAUUACGACUCAUAUAAAAUAUAUGAGAUUAAUUAUUAAAAAAUUUAUGUAUAAAAAUGUAUGAACCAAUAUCUGUGCAUCAAUCUCUAGUUCUUAUUAUUUUGUUUCAUUUUUUAAAAAUAUAACUAAAUAAUAAACCUAGAUGUCCGAUAAAAACUCAUCAAUUUCAUCAUUAGUAGUUUUGGCGAUGAAGUUUCUAUCUUUCUGCUGAUCUUUAGUAAAUAUUUGCCUUGUUUAGAUUUUACGAAAGAUAUUUUUAUUUGAUAAUCUAAUAAUCGAAAACGUCUAAUUUCUAGGUAGAGUGGUUAGCAAAGAUAUUAUUUUAUAUUAUCAAACAAUUAACCCUAUAUUUAUAUAAACUGAAAGAAAGAAAUAGGGUUUUAUUUGGUUGAGAUAGAAGAAGGGAGGCAGCUCUCUUUCUCAAGAUGGAGCAUUCACGUUAUUCAUUUAAAAUCAGACAAUUGCGUUCACAUUUGUAUCUAACUUGUCAUCCUCCUCGUCCAAGAAUCCAUUCACCUUUUACGCCAUACUUGAACAAGAGGUAGCUUUAAUUAGGGUUUCCAUUGUGAACUAAGAACGAGUCAAAGUUGAUUCAUUUAUCUUGUUGGUUUUGAUCAUUUUCUUUCCAUUCUUAAUAGAACGCUUACUCCUCUCCCAAGCUUGCCUUCAGAUCUAUCCCCCAAGCAGGAUUUAGGUGAAUUUAUGAAAGAACUCUCACAACUCGAAUCAGUUUCAGAAAAAGUAUCAAAAUUAGUAGAGCGUCUUAAGGAACUACAUGAGUGUAAGAUCAGAAUAGCUGCAGGUAUUUUGUACCUCUAUUUGAACAAAUAUUUCUAUUUCCUUCUCGACAAUUUCUUGAGUUUUUUUUUUUUGCUUUCUUUUUCUCUUUGUUUAUAUUAAUUCUUGCAGUCCGUGUUCGUCUUGACAAGAGGCACAGGAUCCUUAACGAGGAGAAACUGAGAAUUGCCGAGAUGAAAAGGCUUAUCGCUGAGGAAAAAAAGAUUAUCGCUGAAAAAAAAAAGGAAAUAGCAGAGAAGAGAAGGAAAUUAAAUCAACGAGAGUCUCACAGAGAUGCGUAGGUAGCAUUAGAUCAAGUCAUCAAAGAGAUGCAAAAGCUCAACGCAAAAACGAGAACCGAGGAUCACUAUAGUCUAUAGGUUUAGAUAUAGUUGCUCACAAUAACGUUCCACUAAAUUCUUACUUAUUGUUUUUUUAUUCUUUCACUUAAACAAACUAUUGUCAUGUAUAAGAAACUUGAAGAAGGUUUUAUGAAAAUCACGUUUGUCAAAACUUGAACAUCACGAUUUUAAUGUACAUUAGCUCGGAUAUAUGUUUGAUGUAAUUAUAUGUUUUAUUUAUUGUAAAAACGUUCAUGUUAUUGUUUCAUAUGUUAUUAGUUCUGACAUUGGUGUAUCUUAUUUUUGUUGUAAUUUUUUUCUUUUACUUUGUAAACUAAACAUAAAGUGUAUAAUAUUAGAACAUUUAUUUGAGAUUUAAUAGUUUUAUUAAAUAAGAAAAUCUGAAAUUUGUGAUUUAUAGCUUAUUUUAAAUUUUUGUUUAUAUAGUUUUACAGAAAAAAACGCUAGCAAAUAUACAACCAAUUGGAAAAGUAACCCCAAAAACAUAUAUAUAUAUAGCCUAAUUAGAUGAAUUGAUUUGUGCCAUUUUGUUAUGAUUUUAAAAUAUUUAUCAUUUGUGACCGAAUAAAUAGUGGAUAUGAAUCACAUAACUCAGCUGUGUCUUAACUACAACUCAUCCAAAUUUUACAGAAAUCAAACCGUCGAUGUAUAAGUCAGCAUUAACUUGUGUACGUAAGUCAGUCGUUAUCCCAUAAAUCAACCAGAUUUCUGUAAAUCAGCCGUAACUAACGGCUGAUUUAUGUUCUUAAGUCAGCCGUUUUCUCUUAUGUCAGCCGCAACGUAGCAAUAAUUAACUCAGCUGUAACGACGUAUAUAGCUCUUUAUGGUCGACUUAAUGAAAACACAUAACCGAAUUCUUACGUGGGGCCGGUUUUUGAUUACCUGACAUUAAAAUGUAAUUGCAUUCUUGUAAAUUCGUUUUUUUUUUCAUAACAUAAAAAAAGAGCACACUUGGUAUUUAAAAAAAUACCGGUAAUAAAAAAAAAAGAUAUGUAUGAUUCUAGUCAAUUGUUCUAAAAUAUUGUAUAUUUGAGGAAACUUCCCUAUGAUAUAAUACAAUGGUGAACGAGAGAAAAACAAAUAUAUAUACUUUCUAUUUGAAAAUUGAAUGGAUCAAAAUUUGAGAUUUGACUGUAUUGUAUUGAAUAACUAAUAUAUAAAACAAGCAUUCCAAAAAAAUACUAAUAUAUAAAACAAGUGCAAUUUAUAAUAUAUGAAAUCAUCAAAAUAUGCCAAGGUACUAAAUAGAUGGUUUAGUCUAUAAAUUAUAUAAUCUUUGCUAGUGUAAGUAAAAGUUAAGGGGAUGCAACUUAGGAAUAAAAGCAAAAUAAUUCCAACCAUGUUAGAGAGAACUACAGUAUUGCAAACAUGUAUUUUCAAAGUAAAUUAAUCGACUCUUUGUAUAUGUUAAUACCUACGUCAAUUCCAGUGGACAUUCAGUUUUUUGCUAUCACAAAAUUUCCAUCAAUUUCAUCAUUAGUAGUUUUGGCGAUAAAUUCUAGUUUCUAGAUUUUUCUUUGGAUCGUGUAGACUUUAGAACAUCUCCAAAAGAUAUUUUAUAACUUCAAAUAUGAAGUAUUUGUUCUCCAGAAAAAAACUUCACGAGGAGUGGAACUCUAUAUUUGAAGUUUCACUACUCAAAACUUCAAAUUUGAAGUUUCAUAUUUUAUUUGCAUUUUGAUUCCUAUAAUCACACAUCACUUUUAUGAUUCAUAAAUAUUUUUUCGUUUAUUGUUUUAAUCCUUAAAAAAUUAUAUCUUAUAAAUAUUUUAAAAAUUUUGUUUAUAGAUUUAAAAUUUUACACAUAAAAUUAAAUAAAACUUUAAAAUAAGAUUAAAAAUUUUUAAACUAGAUUUAGACAACAAUAAUAUACAAAAGAAACAUAACAAAAAUUUUUUUAAAAAAUUACAUCGAAACAUAACUAUUACACAAAUUUAAAUAUUACAACAACACUAAUAGUCAGGUAAGUUUGAUCAGGAACCUUCAAAUUUUCAAAUAUUGUCUAAAUAUUUUUGUGUAACUAAAUAUGGUUGUAGUUGUUGUUUUUGAUGUUUUUUUUGUAAAAUUCUUUCUUGUUCAUAUCGAAAUAUAUUCACGAGUAUUAAUAUCAUCGAAAAUAAAUUAGUCUUUUAGCAAUAUUUUAUGUUUCUCUUUUAAUUUCUUGUUCCGAUCUAAUGUAUUUACAACUAUCAAUAUCACCUGAUUUUAAUAACUUUACCUCGUAAUCUACAAAGUAAAAAUGAGGAGAGCUAUUUUUUACUUUGAAAUGCAUUAAUAGAUCAUAUGUGCUUUACAAAAAUUAUUUAAUGGAAUAAUAGGAUAUUUUAUUUGAAGUUUAAUAUUAAUUAAGUUAUUUUUAGUAAAAAAUAUAUUUCAAUAGAAUAUUUUAUUAAUUAAUAUUGUUGUAAUAUGUUUAUAUAUGUGCUACUUAUUUAUAUAAAAAUUAUGAAUUCAAGCUAGUGAUAACAAAUAUAAAGACCAUAUUAUAAAAUUCAAAUAGUUUUGAAGUUGAAUUUGAAGUUUUGGUUUUGGAGAAGAACAUCCUUAAAUUUCAAAUAUAGAGUUUUGGAAACUUUAAAAUAGUUUCUUUUUGGAAAUGCUCUUAAAUCAUUCUUGGAAGAAUAUUUAAUUUGUUUAGAUUUUACCACAAUGAUAUUUUCAUUUGAUAAUCUAAUGAUCGAAAACGGUAUCGCCUAUAAAUCUAUAAUAAUCUAAAAAUACGGAUAAUUUCUAGGUAGAGUAGUUAGUAAAGAUGUUAUUUAAUAUUAUCAAACAAUUAACCCUAUCUUUAUAUGAACUGAAAGAAAGAAAUAGGAUUUUAUUUGGUUGAGAUAGAAGAAGGGAGGCAGGUCUCUCUCAAGAUGGUGCAUUCGAAAUCAAACAAUUGCGUUCACAUUUAUACCUAACUUGUCAUUCUCCUCGUCCAAGUAUUCACUCACCUUUGAACGAGAGGUAGCUUUAAUUAGGGUUUCCAUUGUGAACUAAGAACGAGUCCAAGUUGAUUCAUUUAUCUUGUUGGUUUUGAUCAUUUUCUUUCCAUUCUUGCAAGCUUGCCGUCACAUCUAACCCCCAAGCAGGAUUUAGGUGAAUUUAUGCAAGAACUCUCACAACUCGAAUCAGUUUCAGAAAAAAUAUCAAAAUUACUUGACCGUAUUAAGGAAUUCCAUGAGUGUAAGAUCAGAAGAGCUGCAGGUAUUUUGUAUCUCUAUUUGAAAAAGUAUCUUUAUUUGAUUCUCGUUAAUUUCUUGAGUUUUUUUUUUUUUUUUGCUUUCUUUUUCUCUUUGUUUAUAUUAAUUCUUGCAGUCCGUGUUCGUCUCGACAAGAGGCAAAGGAUCCUUAACGAGGAGAAACUGAGAAUUGCCGAGAUGAAAAGGCUUAUCGCUGAGGAAAAAAAGAUUAUCGCUGAAAAAAAAAAGGAAAUAGCAGAGAAGAGAAGGAAAUUAAAUCAACGAGAGUCUCACAGAGAUGCGUAGGUAGCAUUAGAUCAAGUCAUCAAAGAGAUGCAAAAGUAAGUUGAACAAUACUGAUUUACAUCAAAGGAUUGACUAAGAAUUAUUAUAAUAGUGAUUGUUUCUUAAAUAUUCUAUUAAUAUAUAGAUUAAUUAAUGAUUACUUUGUUCAAUAUUGUUUAAUGCAGGCUCAACGCAAAAACGAGAACCGAGGAUCACUAUAGUCUAUAGGUUUAGAUAUAGUUGCUCACAAUAACGUUCCACUAAAUUCUUACUUAUUGUCUUUUUAUUCUUUCACUUAAACAAACUAUUGUCAUGUACAAGAAACUUGAAGAAGGUUUUAUGAAAAUCACGUUUGUCAAAACUCGAACAUCACGAUUUUAAUGUACUUAUUGCACUGAUUUAAGAAACGGGUUAGCAUAUUAGUUAUAAAUAAUUGGCUGGUUUACAAUGGCAUAGAUAAGUUGGUUUACUCACAAAUGUAUAUAUAUAUAUAUAUAUAUAUAUAUAUAUAUAUAUAUAUAUAUAUAUAUAUAUACACGACGUGUACUCAUCAUCUUCACCAAUGAACAACAGACCUUCACAUUUCUUAAUUAUCCAAUUUCUGUCACUUAUAUUUACAUAAUUAGAUUGGCGAUAUUAUUAUUAUUAUUAUUAUUAUUAUUAUAGUAGAUUAAUUGUGAUUAUUCUUGGUUCCUAUAGUUAUGAAGACCCAAAUCCAGAACAAGAAUUGAGGAUAAUAGACGGUUUUAACUAUCUAACUAGAUUUUGACCCGUGCAACCGCCCGAGUGUUUGUUUUUACUUUUCUAUACAUAAAUUAUUGUUUUAGAACAUAAGUGGUAUAUAUUUUUAAUCUUAAUCAUAUACUUAAUUAUUUAUAUAACUAUUUCAAAUACAAUAAUUUUAUAAUUUACAUGUUAUAAUUAAUUAAUUGUUUAAACCGUAUGUAUUUAC
Molecule: long non-coding RNA, 6278 nt
Organism: Brassica rapa (field mustard)
Lineage: Eukaryota; Viridiplantae; Streptophyta; Magnoliopsida; Brassicales; Brassicaceae
Source: RefSeq, a predicted model, not a curated record